This 78-nucleotide transfer RNA is filed under the name hydrothermal vent metagenome. Its description in RNAcentral is "tRNA-Asp-GTC". It matches the Rfam family "tRNA". Rfam says of the family: Transfer RNA (tRNA) molecules are approximately 80 nucleotides in length. The record is from RNAcentral.
GGGGUCGUAGCUCAGCUUGGUUAGAGCGCCUGCCUGUCACGCAGGAGGUCGCGAGUUCGAGUCUCGUCGACCCCGCAA